AGGCCUCACACAUGCAAGUCGAACGGUGGUCGCAAUCCCAUAGUGGCGCACGGGUGCGUCACACGUCACUAAUCUCACUACAACUGGGGGAUCGCCCGCCGAAAGGCGGAUUAAUACCGCAUAACAUCAGGUGGCGGCAUCGUCUCUUGAUUAAAGAUUUAUUGGUUGUAUAUGAGGUUGCGGGUCAUUAGCUAGUUGGUUGGGUAACGGCUGACCAAGGCGACGAUGACUAGGGGAGCUGAGAGGCUGGUCCCCCACACGGGCACUGAGAUACGGGCCCGACUCCUACGGGAGGCAGCAGUAGGGAAUAUUGGGCAAUGGACGAGAGUCUGACCCAGCCAUGCCGCGUGCAGGAAGAAGGCGCUCAGCGUUGUAAACGGCUUUUACUCAUGAAGAACUGUGGGGAUGCGUCCUUACUUGACGGUAAUGAGGGAAUAAGCACCGGCUAACUCCGUGCCAGCAGCCGCGGUAAU
This 473-nucleotide ribosomal RNA is filed under the name uncultured bacterium. RNAcentral describes it as "bacterial SSU rRNA". It matches the Rfam family "Bacterial small subunit ribosomal RNA", at positions 44 to 524 of the family's 1533-position model. The record is from RNAcentral.